This 1420-nucleotide unclassified non-coding RNA is filed under the name uncultured fungus. RNAcentral's name for it is "sequence contains 18S rRNA gene, ITS1, 5.8S rRNA gene, ITS2, 28S rRNA gene". The stretch from base 478 to 1420 matches the Rfam family "Eukaryotic large subunit ribosomal RNA", at positions 1 to 961 of the family's 3401-position model. The record is from RNAcentral. Lineage: Eukaryota; Fungi.
GGAAGGAUCAUUACAGAGUUCAUGCCCCUACGGGUAGAUCUCCCACCCUUGAAUAUUAUACCUUUGUUGCUUUGGCGGGCCGCUUCGGCUACCGGCUACGGCUGGUGAGUGCCCGCCAAAGGACCCCCAAACUCUGAAUUAUAGUGUCGUCUGAGUACUAUAUAAUAGUUAAAACUUUCAACAACGGAUCUCUUGGUUCUGGCAUCGAUGAAGAACGCAGCGAAAUGCGAUAAGUAAUGUGAAUUGCAGAAUUCAGUGAAUCAUCGAAUCUUUGAACGCACAUUGCGCCCCUUGGUAUUCCGAGGGGCAUGCCUGUUCGAGCGUCAUUAUAACCCCUCAAGCUCAGCUUGGUAUUGGGGCCUGCCAUCCUGGCAGCCCUUAAAAUCAGUGGCGGUGCCAUCCGGCUCUAAGCGUAGUAACUCUUCUCGCUAUGGAGUCCUGGUGGAUGCUUGCCAUUAAUCUUUUAACUUCUAUGGUUGACCUCGGAUCAGGUAGGGAUACCCGCUGAACUUAAGCAUAUCAAUAAGCGGAGGAAAAGAAACCAACAGGGAUUGCCUCAGUAACGGCGAGUGAAGCGGCAACAGCUCAAAUUUGAAAUCUGGCUCUUUCAGGGUCCGAGUUGUAAUUUGUAGAAGAUGCUUCGGGUGUGGCCCCGGUCUAAGUUCCUUGGAACAGGACGUCAUAGAGGGUGAGAAUCCCGUAUGUGACUGGGUGCCUUCGCUCAUGUGAAGCUCUUUCGACGAGUCGAGUUGUUUGGGAAUGCAGCUCAAAAUGGGUGGUAAAUUUCAUCUAAAGCUAAAUAUUGGCCAGAGACCGAUAGCGCACAAGUAGAGUGAUCGAAAGAUGAAAAGCACUUUGGAAAGAGAGUUAAACAGUACGUGAAAUUGUUGAAAGGGAAGCGCUUGCAACCAGACUUGCAUGCGGUCGAUCAUCCGGUGUUCUCACCGGUGCACUCGGCCGCGUUCAGGCCAGCAUCGGUUUCGGUGGUUGGAUAAAGGCCUUGGGAAUGUAGCUUCUUUAGGGGAGUGUUAUAGCCCUCGGUGCAAUGCAGCCUACUGGGACCGAGGACCGCGCUUCGGCUAGGAUGCUGGCGUAAUGGUUGUAAGCGACCCGUCUUGAAACACGGACCAAGGAGUCUAACAUCUAUGCGAGUGUUUGGGUGUCAAACCCAUACGCGUAAUGAAAGUGAACGGAGGUGAGAACCCUUAAGGGUGCAUCAUCGACCGAUCCUGAUGUCUUCGGAUGGAUUUGAGUAAGAGCAUAGCUGUUGGGACCCGAAAGAUGGUGAACUAUGCGUGAAUAGGGUGAAGCCAGAGGAAACUCUGGUGGAGGCUCGCAGCGGUUCUGACGUGCAAAUCGAUCGUCAAAUUUGCGCAUAGGGGCGAAAGACUAAUCGAACCAUCUAGUAGCUGGUUCCUGC